GGAAGGGRUGUAUUUAUUAGAUAAAAAACCAAUGCCCUUCGGGGCUCCUUGGUGAUUCAUGAUAACUUAACGAAUCGCAUGGCCUUGUGCCGGCGAUGGUUCAUUCAAAUUUCUGCCCUAUCAACUUUCGAUGGUAGGAUAGUGGCCUACCAUGGUUUCAACGGGUAACGGGGAAUUAGGGUUCUAUUCCGGAGAGGGAGCCUGAGAAACGGCUACCACAUCCAAGGAAGGCAGCAGGCGCGCAAAUUACCCAAUCCCGACACGGGGAGGUAGUGACAAUAAAUACUGAUGCAGAGCUCUUUUGGGUUUUGCAAUUGGAAUGAGUACAAUUUAAAUCCCUUAACGAGGAACAAUUGGAGGGCAAGUCUGGUGCCAGCAGCCGCGGUAAUUCCAGCUCCAAUAGCGUAUAUUAAAGUUGUUGYGGUUAAAAAGCUCGUAGUUGAACCUUGGGCCUGGCUGGCCGGUCCGCCUCACCGCGUGUACUGGUCCGGCCGGGCCUUUCCCUCUGUGGAACCCCAUGCCCUUCACUGGGUGUGGCGGGGAACCAGGACUUUUAC
RNAcentral lists this ribosomal RNA (557 nucleotides) under uncultured Pezizomycotina. RNAcentral describes it as "SSU rRNA". It matches the Rfam family "Eukaryotic small subunit ribosomal RNA", at positions 196 to 766 of the family's 1831-position model. Lineage: Eukaryota; Fungi; Ascomycota. The record is from RNAcentral.